RNAcentral lists this ribosomal RNA (278 nucleotides) under uncultured eukaryote. RNAcentral describes it as "partial 18S ribosomal RNA". It matches the Rfam family "Eukaryotic small subunit ribosomal RNA", at positions 21 to 299 of the family's 1831-position model. The record is from RNAcentral.
UAGUCAUAUGCUUGUCUCAAAGAUUAAGCCAUGCAUGUCUAAGUAUAAAAGUAUUCUAUACUUGAAACUGCGAAUAGCUCAUUAAAUCAGUUAUAGUUUAUUUGAUGGUGCCUUACUACAUGGAUACCCGUAGUAAUUCUAGAGCUAAUACAUGCCAAAAAAACCCAACCGCAAGGGCGGGUUGUAUUUAUUAGAUAAAAACCAUUACUCGCAAGAGUUUUUGUGGUGAUUCAUAAUAACUGUUCGAAUCGCAUGCCGCAAGGCGGCGAUAGAUCAUU